UGGCAUGGCGCGGCUACCAUGCAGUCGAGCGGAACGAGUUAUCUGAACCUUCGGGGAACGAUAACGGCGUCGAGCGGCGGACGGGUGAGUAAUGCCUAGGAAAUUGCCCUGAUGUGGGGGAUAACCAUUGGAAACGAUGGCUAAUACCGCAUGAUGCCUACGGGCCAAAGAGGGGGACCAUUCGGGGGCCUUCCCGCGUCCAGGAAAUAGCCCUAGGGUGGGAAUUAGCCUAGUUGGGUGAGGUAAAGGGCUUCAACAAAGGCGGACGAUUCCCCUAGCUGGUCUGGAGAGGGAUGAUCCAGCCACCACUGGAAACUGAGACACCGGUCCCAGACUCCCUACGGGGAGGCAGCCAGUGGGGGAAUUAUUGCACAAUGGGGCGCAAACCCUGAAUGCAGCCCAUGCCCGCGUGUGUGAAGAAGGCCUUCCGGGUUGUAAAAGCACUUUUCAGUUCGUGAGGAAGGUGGGUAGUGUUAAUAGCACUAUUCAUUUGACGUUAGCGACAGAAGAAGCACCCGGCUAACUCCGUGCCAGCAGCCGCGGUAAUACGGAGGGUGCGAGCGUUAAUCGGAAUUACUGGGCGUAAAGCGCAUGCAGGUGGUUUGUUAAGUCAGAUGUGAAAGCCCGGGGCUCAACCUCGGAAUUGCAUUUGAAACUGGCAGACUAGAGUACUGUAGAGGGGGGUAGAAUUUCAGGUGUAGCGGUGAAAUGCGUAGAGAUCUGAAGGAAUACCGGUGGCGAAGGCGGCCCCCUGGACAGAUACUGACACUCAGAUGCGAAAGCGUGGGGAGCAAACAGGAUUAGAUACCCUGGUAGUCCACGCCGUAAACGAUGUCUACUUGGAAGGUUGUGGCCUUGAGCCGUGGCUUUCGGAGCUAACGCGUUAAGUAGACCGCCUGGGGGAGUACGGUCGCAAGAUUAAAACUCAAAUGAAAUUGACGGGGGGCCCGCACAAGCGGUGGAGCAUGGUGGUUAAAUUCGAUGCAACCGCGAAAAACCUUACCUACUCUUGACAUCCAGAAAACUUUUCCAGAAAAUGGAUUGGUUGCCUUUCGGGAAACUCUGAAAACAGGUGCCUGCAUGGCCUGUCCUCCACCUCGGGGUUGUGAAAAUGUUUGGGGUUAAGUCUCCGCCAACCGAAGCGCAAACCCUUUAUUCCUUGUUUUGCCCACCCAAGUAAUGGUCGGGAAACUCCAAGGGAGAACUGGCCGGGUGAAUAAACCCGGAAGGGAAGGGGUGGGGAACCGAACGUUCAAGUUUCAUCAAUGGGCCCCUUUAACCAAGAUAAGGGCUUACCACACGUUGGCUUACCAAUGGCGGCCAAUAUCAGAAGGGGCAAGCCAAACUUUGGCGAAAAGGUGAACCCAAUCCCCAAAAAGAUGGGCGUCGUAAAAUCCCCGUAGAUUGGAGUCUGCAACUCGACUCCAUGAAGUCGGAAUCGCUAGUAAUCGUGGAUCAGAAUGCCACGGUGAAUACGUUCCCGGGCCUUGUACACACCGCCCGUCACACCAUGGGAGUGGGCUGCAAAAGAAGUAGGUAGUUUAACCUUCGGGGGACGCUACCACUUUGUGAAUGGUCC
Molecule: ribosomal RNA, 1579 nt
Filed under: Vibrio parahaemolyticus
Lineage: Bacteria; Pseudomonadati; Pseudomonadota; Gammaproteobacteria; Vibrionales; Vibrionaceae
Description: bacterial SSU rRNA
Rfam family: Bacterial small subunit ribosomal RNA
Source: RNAcentral